This 492-nucleotide ribosomal RNA is filed under the name uncultured bacterium. Its description in RNAcentral is "partial 16S ribosomal RNA". It matches the Rfam family "Bacterial small subunit ribosomal RNA", at positions 29 to 507 of the family's 1533-position model. The record is from RNAcentral.
AGUGAACGCUGGCGGUAGGCCUAACGCAUGCAAGUCGAACGACCGCACAGUAAGCGCUUGCUCUUACGGGUGGCGAGUGGCGGACGGGUGAGGAAUACAUAGGAAUCUACUUUUUCGUGGGGGAUUACGUAGGGCCACUUACGCUACUACCGCAUAUGACCUACGGGUUAAAGCAGGGGAUCUUCGGACCUUGCGCGUUUCUAUGAGACGAUGCCGGAUUAGCUAGUUGGCGGGGUAAAGGCACACCAAGGCGACGAUACGUAGCCGGUCUGAGAGGAUGAUCAGCCACACUGGAACUGAGACACGGUCCAGACUCCUACGGGAGGCAGCAGUGGGGAAUAUUGGACAAUGGGCGCAAGCCUGAUCCAGCCAUACCGCGUGAGUGAAGAAGGCCUUCGGGUUGUAAAGCCCUUUUGUUAGGAAAGAAAAGCAGCAGGUUAAUACCCCGCUGUUCUGACGGUACCCAAAGAAUAAGCACCGGCUAACUUCGUG